AGGAACCUCUGCCUCCCUGGCCAGGCUGCGUCCGCUCCCGCCGACUGACAUCACCCUCGGGUUCGGGGGGCUGAUCCCGGCUGGCUCCUGCCUCUGCGUUAGCCUCCAUUCUUAGAGAUCCAAACCCAGCGGGAGCGGGGAGGGCAGGGAGGCGGGGAUUCGUGGAAAUAGGCCACUUGCUAUUUUUGCAUUCCCUGUCACAGGCAGAGGUGAAAACAGAAUUUCAUCAUUGUAUGUCAUUAGUUUAUGUUGGUGGGAAUUUAGGCCCCCCUUUUUUUUCUCACUCGGAAGAGGGGGGAGGGAAAGAGAACAACACGAUAUAGAAACACAGGCUUCGUGUAGCUGCUCAAUCCUGAAGGGAUUUCGUGGCCUGCAGCUCGUCUGUCAUGUGCUCCCACCGUUCUUUACUGUGAAAGGGAGAGACAGAAAAAUUAUGCAGACGUCUUCCCUCUUGUUAAUUUCGACAAAGUAGGUCAACCUUUGAGUUCCUGGGUCUGUCUGGCCUUGCCUUCCACUCAUAACUGCGUCUCAGGGACUCUUAGAGAAAAACUGCAGAGAUUUGAUUUAUUUCCUUUUCAGGUUUGAAGCAGCUCUGGCCAACACCUCAAAGAUGUGUCAAGAUUUUAUAUCCAGGAUUUAUCUCAUACAUCACUUACUUUGGCAGUAAAAAAAGAGAGGUCUUUGGAUGAUCCUUCCUCCUCCAAAGAGUUCCCCCCCCCCCUUCUUGGCAACAUUAUGGCCAGAGAGUUGAACAUCUAAUACAUCUGUCCUCUGAAAAGGACAAGCCA
RNAcentral lists this long non-coding RNA (788 nucleotides) under Mus musculus (house mouse). Its description in RNAcentral is "predicted gene, 56522". Lineage: Eukaryota; Metazoa; Chordata; Mammalia; Rodentia; Muridae. The record is from RNAcentral.